CCCUACGGGACGCAGCAGUGAGGAAUAUUGCGCAAUGGGGGAAACCCUGACGCAGCGACGCCGUGUGAGCGAUGAAGGCCUUCGGGUUGUAAAGCUCUGUCAGAGGGGAAGAAAGGGGAUAUGGUUAAUACCCAUGUCCAUUGACGGUACCCUUUGAGGAAGCACCGGCUAACUCCGUGCCAGCAGCCGCGGUAAUACGGAGGGUGCGAGUGUUAUUCGGAAUCACUGGGCGUAAAGAGCACGUAGGCGGAUAGGUAAGUCAGAUGUGAAAUCCCGGGGCUCAACUUCGGAACUGCAUUUGAUACUGCCUGUCUUGAGUGUGGUAGAGGGGGGUGGAAUUCCCGGUGUAGAGGUGAAAUUCGUAGAUAUCGGGAGGAACACCAGAGGCGAAGGCGACCCCCUGGGCCACUACUGACGCUGAGGUGCGAAAGCGUGGGGAGCAAACAGGAUUAGAUACCCGGGUAGUCCU
Molecule: ribosomal RNA, 469 nt
Filed under: uncultured bacterium
Lineage: Bacteria
Description: bacterial SSU rRNA
Rfam family: Bacterial small subunit ribosomal RNA
Source: RNAcentral